This 104-nucleotide transfer RNA is filed under the name Nitrososphaeria archaeon. Its description in RNAcentral is "tRNA-Leu". It matches the Rfam family "tRNA". From Rfam's summary of the family: Transfer RNA (tRNA) molecules are approximately 80 nucleotides in length. The record is from RNAcentral. Lineage: Archaea; Thermoproteati; Nitrososphaerota; Nitrososphaeria.
GCGGGGGUAGUCAAGCCUGGCCAAAGAGAUAGUACAAUCUUGGAUACGCAGGACUGAGGCUCCUGUCCCGUAGGGGUUCGUGGGUUCAAAUCCCACCCCCCGCA